AGGUUUAUAGUUAAAUAUAACAUUUGAUUUGCAGUCAAAAAGUAUUGAUCAUCAAUUAUUCUUA
RNAcentral lists this transfer RNA (64 nucleotides) under Megalophasma granulatum. RNAcentral describes it as "tRNA-Ala". It matches the Rfam family "tRNA". From Rfam's summary of the family: Transfer RNA (tRNA) molecules are approximately 80 nucleotides in length. The record is from RNAcentral. Lineage: Eukaryota; Metazoa; Arthropoda; Insecta; Phasmatodea; Lonchodidae.